Long non-coding RNA from Passer domesticus (house sparrow), 6719 nucleotides. RefSeq lists it as uncharacterized. Lineage: Eukaryota; Metazoa; Chordata; Aves; Passeriformes; Passeridae. The record is from RefSeq and is a predicted model, not a curated record. The transcript has 3 exons.
GCAGGGCUCUCCCAGACCAGGCACUGAGCAGCCGCAGCCCACAGGCAGCAGGCCCCUUCUGCACCCUUGUCUGCCCAUCCCAGCUCUUUGCUCCUCCCUGCUCCCUCUUCCCUGCACACCUCCUCGGUGCCUGGCAUAGUCUCACUGACCCACUGCAGCAUCCUGGAGCCUCAGCUUUACAUCCUUAUCCUUUGCAGAUUUCCAGGUUUGCCUACAGUCUCUUUGAUUACUCACCAGGCGGUGCGGCUGACUAGGUUUGUUUGCAUAAGGACCUCCCUCAGCCUGCUUUCUGUCUCUCUAUGUUCUUAUUUAUUGCUCCUUUGACCAGAUACCCUAAAGCAGCAGGGAUUCUUCUUCUACAUACUCUUAGAGCAUUUAGCUGAAUGUCAUGAGAAUUAUCCCAAGAAAGUUUAUUGAAAUAAACCUACAGAGUAUAAUGUUUCCUACUAGGAGAAAAAAAAAAAAGUUUGUAAAGUAACUGGAGGUCAGUCAUGGGACAAUUCAUUUCUACUGUGUUAAAAAACUUGUAAUUUUGUAUGGCAAAGCCAGAUGUCUUCACUUCUACAAGUAAUUUCAUUUUAAUUAGCUUUACAUUCACAGCUACCAAAACCUGGCUUUCAUAUAGACUUUGAGAAACCAAAAUUGAGGUGAAAGGUCAGCUUUAUAAACCCCUGAGUAAUUUGGUAGUGAUCAAAGCUUUGUAUAUUUAUUCUCUACUGGCUUCAUUUUUAUAAUAAAUGGUUCUUUUUAGAUUGUCAAGCUUUUUAAGAGAGGAAAAAUUCCCAGGAUUUUUUGCUUGUUUUGUAAAAGGUGAUAUUUUAAAUAUAAAAAAUCCUCUAAAGCUCUAGUUCUUUGGAUAAUAAAGCUUUCCAGUAGAAGAACUCAUACAGAAGGUUUUUUCAAAUGUAAUAUUUAAAAAUAAGCAGGAACUUGCCUUUUGUUUUGCCUAUCUUCCAGAUUAAAAAAAAAUCCAAAUAAAAAAACCAAAAAACAAACAAACAAACCCACCACAAAUAAAAAACUCCCAAAACCAAACCAAACUAAACCAAAUCAAACUGACCAACAAACAAAUAAUCAAUCAAUCAAAACUAAAACAAAAACUCAAAAAAACCUAAACCCAAAAACCCAAAAAACUCAAAAAAGAACUGACCAGAGUAUUCCUUCCUUCACAUUGUCUUAGCUGAUCCAUCUAGACAUCUGUAUGAUGAUCUUUGAUUUCUUUAAUCUGCAUUCAGAUGGAAUAAAAUAUCACUUUCCUUGCACAAUCUUUGAAAUGUGUCAUCUCAGCAAUAUGCCCACUUCUAGCAGUUUAUCAGAAGGGAGUUAAUGGGAGUGGGAUCUACGCAGAGGUGUUUCAAGAAUGGACAAUUAAAAUGGAAUCAGUUUAAGUUUUGAAAGGGUUAGAAACAAAGAGAAUUUCACCUCUUCUACCACCAGCUUUUGUUUGUCAGAAACAUUUUGUAGUAUAUAGUUUAAUUUCUCUUCAGCCUGGUGAAUCAAACAAGUGUCUCAUGCUUGCCACUGCCAUGUUAAGAGUAGAUAUGUACAGAAACACCUCAGUUCUCAGUCUUCUCAGUCCUGUUUUGCUGGGAAGGGAGCCUUUGUGAAAGAAACAAUAUGUAGACUUAACCAUUCUUCCUCCCAAAAAACAUUUCAGUAAUUUUGUCUCAAUACAAGACCUGGAAAAGUCUUCUGUAUCUUUAGGAGGGGCCACUAGAAAAGUUCUGAAAUGGUCCAAUGUUUCUGGUUAUUCUGCUCUUGUGUCAAAGUAAUUGGCAAUAUUUGACCUGAUGGUUGGGUGCAGGAGCAGAUGUGUGUUAUCUUGGUGCAUGGGGAGAACCAGUUUUCAGCAGGAUCAUUGAACAGGACUCAACUGAGCACCUCCGCAAAACCAGUCCAUGGUCUUGAGCACCAGGAUUCAGCAGGAAAGAGGAGACAACAAAGUUUGGUGACAUCCUUGAGAAUUGUGUACCUAGAAAAUAUCAUCAGCCUAUCUCUGUAUCUCAGCAAACUCCUAGGCAGGUGGGCCAAAGGAUGGGAAUGGCUGUCUUAGAAUAGCUCAAUUGUCCUGGCGACUGUGAAACUGCUUCACUUUAAAUAUUCUUAGAUGUCUUACUGACAGUCCUACUAACUGAGGCUCACAGGCUAAGUGAAUCCUUACCAGUUUUCAGAUGAAACAAAAUCUGGGAGGAAUGACUGAACAGCAAGUGGUUGUGUGGCCAUUCAGAGGGACCCUGACUUCGAUAGCUACUGACACAAGUGUGGCUUGUGCAGGGCCUGUGUGAGCAGCACAGCACAUCUAAGCAGCAAACGGGCAGUUUUUAUAUCAAGACAGAGGAGCAAACCUCAUAUUGCCAUUGCUUAUUCUCAUCAGCACUGAAAAACUCAGAAGUGUAUGGAGCUCAACUCCGAAAGAGUGCGAGGACAGGAUUCUUCUCUUGUGACUGCAGCUCUUAGUUCAGGGCAGAAGAUUUCAAGGAUCUCUUGAUCAGCUCUCUCAGGAGAUGUGUGACCUUGGGUCAUGUGGCACAUAAGAGCUUUCCUUUGGCUACAAAAAAAAGUUUUCUGAAAAAAAACAGAGAAGACAGACAAGGGGGAUGUGUGCAGCAGCACAUUAUUUGCAGCUGUGGAGAGGCACUGGCCCUGAAACUGCAGUGAACUUCCAGCACUAGACUACCUUUAUGCAUGCAGGUGAUACAUAGCCAGUGCAAAUGGCACUGUGCAUGGUAAAAGCAGAGAGUUGGUCACAGACCUCACAACAUCAGGGUUAGAUGAUUUAUCCACAUUUGCAUGACCAGCUGUAGUGGGUUAGCCCCAGUCCAACACAGCCACUCACUUAUUCACUCCCCACUAAUAGGAAUGUGAAAGGGUAUCAAAAGGGUAAACAUGUGAAAACUUGGGGGUUGAGAUAAAGACACUGUAACAGAUAAAACAAAAGCUGUGCUACCAAGUAAAGCAAAACAAGGAAUUCCUUCACUGCUUUUCAAAGGCCAGCAGGUGCUCAGCCUCCCCUAGAAGAUCAGGGAUGUUUUCUGUCCAUUACAUGUAAUAGCUGUUCAAAAGGCAAACAGUACAACCCUGGACAUCCCCACCUUCCUCCUUCUUUCCUGCAGUUUUUAUUGCUCAGCAUGGUGUAUGGAAUAUUCCUUUGGUCAUCUGGUGUCCACUGUGUCACCUCAACUUCUUGUGCAUUCCCACCCUGCUUCCUGUGGUGUAGCAUGGCAGAGAAGUUCUCACACUGUGCAAACAUUGCUCAGAAAUAACAAAAGCACCACUAUGUUACCAACAAUUUUUUGUCACAAAUCCAAAAUAUUGCACCAUAAUAACUGCUAUAAGGAAAAUUAACUUCAUCCCACCCAAAACCAGCACACCAGUAGUGUUAGCCUGGAAUUUGGCCUAGUUACCCAAAAUCCAGGAACAGAGAUUUCUUAAAGUAGGAACAGGCCUGCUUCCCUUUGACAUCACACUCAACACAUGUUCCUUUAUUUACGGUAACUGAAAAUUUCAGCAGGUUUCUGCAUAAGCUUUAGUGUGUGCCUUGCAGCAAGGUCUACCUAGUUCAACAAGGACAGUUUUCCCUGUGACACAUAACUGCACUGCUGUUUCUUCCCUAUGGAUGUCUGGUGUGCUCCCACCAUGGAGCAAGGACUAAGAGCCAACCUGCUACUAGAUAGCUUUAUAUGACAAACAUUCAGUGUUGUGCUUCUGUCAGAAAUAAGCCACCCUGGCAACGUGCCACCUACCGCUUUUUGGAUGGAUGACAGAUCUAAAGGAGGUUUCAUUAAACAAGGCUCUGCUCAUACCUGCUGCAGUUUUGAACCUGAUUAAAAUGCUUCUGGCAAAUCAGAUGAAGCAGACUUGGAUGUGAGAGACUGGAAGUUUCCUUAGAAUUACUACAACAGGGCUGAGGUUUAACACCAUUCUCGCAAGUUGGAUUCAUUUCCUUGGGAGUUAAGUUCUUGGUGUUUGCUUGGUAGAUGCUGCUUCAUUUAUUUCAGCUUCUGCCUUCUGUGUUACUUUGAGCUGCAGCCUCCAUGAAGUCAGAAGAUCUCUAGUCUCAGCUGCAUCACAAGGAGUGUCCUUUUUAGACAGCUAAAUAUAUCACCAUGAUUUGAAUUUUCUUCUAGGAUUUGUGAAUUGAAUAAAUGGGUUUUCCAUUCCCUCUGCACUGACAUGCAAUUGAGAAAGCUUGACCUUUACCUGCUGAAUACCCAUUGAAUAGCCUGACAAUAAUUCAGUCCUCAGAACUGUAAUGAGAUUUCCCAGACUUGUUUGUCUGCUAAUUACAUAGUUAUCCUAUGCUGGGAGUCAAAAAGGGAGCUGGUCACCAAUUAACCAUGACAUUGCUGCUGUUUUUCUGUCCCAAAGUGACCUGACAUGUCCCACUGAUCUUCUCCUUGGGUCUUCAGGAAGCCUACACUAUAUUAUUCUGUACUUUUCCACUAAUAUAUGCUGUAGGAGACAAAUGUAAUGAAACUCAGUGCAAGACCUUAUGGGAGGGUGAGGUGCUAUUUUUAAACUGUCUCUAAGUAGGUUAAAGCUUGGCACUUACACGUUCACAUCAAGUCACCAGCACCAAGAGGAGUGUGCCCAGCUGCUCUGACUAAGAUCAGUGAUGUAUGUAUGACACAGAGGAAAACGGAUGCUUACUCUUGAGUUUCCACUGUGUCUCUUGGGUUUGUCGUGAUAGGCUCUUGGAUAAACUGGUUUUCAUACACUUCAUGAAGCCUCAGCUAUUUUACAUUGACACUUACUUGAACCUUCAUAAACAAGCCCAUUGUCCUAGUUUCCUGAUUUUCAGACAAUUUUAAGAGUGCAGUGUGUUUUCCUGUGGAGAUAGAAGGAAAAUAAUCAGCAUAGGAUAUGCUAUAACUGUGUUGCUAUCUUUUCUUAAGAAAGGUGUCAGUGACUGGUCAUGCAUGAGCUGUGACCUUACAAGAGCAGUCAUUUUCUGGGGUCAAUUAAAAAAUAUCUGUCUGCCAGUGUUUAGCAGUUUGAUUGUUUCCUAUGUCCUUGGUUACCAAUGCAGUCUGUUCAUGUAAACCUCCUCUGCUGUUUCUUGGGUGCAUGCACACACACACACACAAGUGUACGCUUUUUAAAUAUUUCAUCUUUCAGACCAGUUGUUCUCUGUCUAUUAAAAAUCUUCUUAAACUCCCUCAAAACCAGUGCUUCACUGUUGAAGCCAGUAAUUUUUUCAGACCUUCAACCUCAUUCACCUCCAAAAAUACAGGACACUACCAGGAACUGAGAGUCAAAGGACUCCUUAUAAGACGCUGGUAGCACAGAAAUGAAUUAUUUUUAUUAUUUUGACUAGGAAAAUCUAAGCCUUUGUAAGGAUGAAGCUAUCUGGGAAGGAACUAGUUCUGAACUGCCAGUCAUUCCCACUGCAACAUCCCCACUCUACACCUAGCAAAUAUUGACCCUAUCAGCAUCCUUUUCUGCAAUCCCUGGGAAGUGAGAUCAGCUCUUUAGGGACAAGAGCUCUUCCCUGGGUAUCCAAACAUUUCUGAUUGAUAGGAGAGAUAUCUAGCCGUGUAAGUUGUACUAGCCAAUGGAUGAACACGGCAGGUACAAAUGUUGGGUUGCAAGCCAAAGUCCAAUGUCUGGCUCUGGUCUGGCCUUACAUGGGCAUGGAAUUCCACUUGCUCAUGAAGUCUCGGUUCAGGAAAAUAUUCCAUCCAGGCAUGAUCAGUAUUUCUCUGAAAAAAUCUCCUAAGAGGAUCAUAUGGGACUGAUACCUCAUCUAGAGCUAGGACAUUAAAAAUCACAUUUCUCUUUUGAAAGUGAAAGGGAAAAACCAGUCCAGAGAAACCUGGUCGUGUGCUUGGAAACCUGGCUUUGAUUGUUCCUGCUUCCAUCCUCACUUUGUGAGUUGGGAUAGAUCUUCCUCUGGAUACACUGCUGUUCUUCUCAUGGGUCAAACUUCUCUCAUGCCCUCCUUUAGUAAUGAUCUCAACAGAUCUACUUGACCUUGCUGGUGAACUUCAGGUGUUGUGGUAUGAUGCCGUACUGUUAAUAUUGGACCUGCUGGUUUGUAUUAGGAGCAAGGGCUCACUCUACAUUCAUUUCCAGACACUUGUGUUCAAAUUCUGCUCCUGCAGAAAGGUGAUGACUUUCUUGUUUUGCUUAUCUUUUCUCUUCGUGGUGUAGGACUGUCUUCAUGGGUAUAUCUUUAUAAGGUGUGAAAGAAAUACAUGUCCAAUGAAUUUUCAAUAAAUGAAUAGGGCACUUUGAAAUUCAUGCACACAACAGGCAGCAGACUUUUAGUGCCUCCCAGAGUUCAAUUUCUAGUUUUUAUUUAAUUUUCUAGCAAUAGUGAAAUCUCGUAUGGCAUGGAGCAAAAGGCAAAUCUCAUAUCCACAAGAGUAUAUUCAUUUAAAGUUAGCUUAUGAAGUAAUUUUAUAACAGAGGUAGCUCCAAGUGGAAAAAAAAGUGUGAAGAUUAAUUCAGUUGAGUCUCUCACCAUUUAAAAUUGAAUGGGAAAGAAACCCAAACAUGCACCAAUUUAAUAUAAUGUCAAUUCCUUGAAAACUCUCCUGAGUAGAUUCUUUAUUUCCUAGUAGAGAUUCUUAUUACAAUUAGUCUCUCAUGAAGACUUAAUAAAAUCUGAUUCUCCUCUAACAAGCCAACAAUUUCCAUGAAAUUAAUCAAAACUAACAAUAUGAGACUUUUGUGUUGCUUGAGGUUUCUGAUGGAUUAGAAAGUCAUGGAAUGGA